UACGUAGGGGGCAAGCGUUGUCCGGAUUCACUGGGUUUAAAGGGUGCGUAGGUGGGCAGUUAAGUCAGUGGUGAAAUCUCCGGGCUCAACCCGGAAACUGCCAUUGAUACUAUCUGUCUUGAAUAUCGUGGAGGUAAGCGGAAUAUGUCAUGUAGCGGUGAAAUGCUUAGAUAUGACACAGAACACCGAUUGCGAAGGCAGCUCACUAAACUGUAACUGACGCUGAGGCACGAAAGCGUGGGGAGCAAACAGG
This 253-nucleotide ribosomal RNA is filed under the name uncultured bacterium. Its description in RNAcentral is "partial 16S ribosomal RNA". It matches the Rfam family "Bacterial small subunit ribosomal RNA", at positions 524 to 776 of the family's 1533-position model. The record is from RNAcentral.